CUGCAAAUCACCUACAGUCAAUUUCCUUAGGCUUCAGACUAAUUAAAUAUUUUUAUGAAUAAUAUGUAUUUUUAAAAUAAAUGUAAAACACAUUGUUUCUAUAUAUAAUUAAUAUCUUUAAAUUAACCAGUUUAGAUUUUUUCCAUCAUUUUUAAUUUACUUUAUGCCAUUGACACUGGUUGUGAAAUUGUAGUUCUUUCCCCUCAUUAAGGCUGUGAAACAUACAAUCUUGUAGCUUUAUCUUUUUCUCUGGUUUUCACAAUCAAAAUCAAAGUUGGCAGUGAUUUACCCCAUAGCUGCCAGGCUUGGUUAAUUAAUGGCUUUUAACUCCUAAACAAAGACUUUUUAAACAAUCCCUAAGGGAAUAACAAUAAGAAACUGCAGUAAACGUAAAGCUAUUGUGCUACAAACCAGUGUGUUUAUGAUAAUGAAUUAAAAUAAUAUAGGUGACAAACCUAUACUUGUUUGCGAUAUCAAGUAGCAUAAUGGACUGUCAUUGUCCAGGUGAAAUAAUUGGAAGUCAACGAUACUGAAACUGUUACACAUUCAAGUUACCAAUGGCCACACCCACUCUGAAACAAAUCUGGGAAUCAUGGGAACAAAUGAAACUAGGAAUAAACACAGGUGAUGAAACAAGACCUGACAUUACCUCUUUUAGUACUAGUAGGCACCACCAGUGAGCAUCUAGGGAGCAGCGAACAUGACAAUGGAGACCAUGGUAGAACUGGCAGAGUGGAUGACCAUGGCAAUGAGCACUGACCAUGGUGGAGCCAGUGGAUCAAAGACAGAGGAGGUGAAGACCAGGGUGAUUUUGUAGGCUCGGAGGAUGAAGGCAGAACCAGUUAAACAGUGGACCAGGGAAGAGCUGGGGGAAAGAGAGGCAAAGAGAGUUGAGCUGAGGAUCUAAUUGCAAAGCAGUCUUUACUAAAUGAAAACAAAAAACACUCUGGAACAUGCAUGCACAGGAGGAACAAAACCAUAUAUUGAUGAGAACAGACAAAGAACUGAACCAAACAUGGAAACAGAUGAUUCUUCUGCACAAUCUGACUUUGCCUCAGCCUGGAAUUGAACUGCUGGUUUCGUCUGGUCAGAGGAGAACUGGUCCCCCGACUGAGCCUUGUUUCUCCCAAGGUUUUUUCUCCAUUCUGUCACCAAUAGAGUUUUGGAUCCUUGCCGCUGUCGCCUCUGGCUUGCUUAGUUGGGGACACUUCAUUUACAGCGAUAUCGUUGACUUGAUUGCAAAUUAUUGCACAGAUACUAUUUAAACUGGACUGAGCUGCAUGAUGACAUCACUGAAUUCAAUGAUGAACUGCCUUUAACUGUCAUUUUGCAUUAUUGACACACUGUUUUCCUAAUUAAUGUUGUUCAGUUGCUUUGAAGCAAUCUUUUUUGUUUAAAGUGCUAUAUAAAUAAAAGUGACUUGACUUGACUUACUGAUUCCA
This is a long non-coding RNA of Cyprinus carpio (common carp), 1442 nucleotides long. Lineage: Eukaryota; Metazoa; Chordata; Actinopteri; Cypriniformes; Cyprinidae. The record is from Ensembl.